RNAcentral lists this non-coding RNA (799 nucleotides) under Brachythemis contaminata. The record is from RNAcentral. Lineage: Eukaryota; Metazoa; Arthropoda; Insecta; Odonata; Libellulidae.
UAUAUAAUACAAUUAUUCUUUUAAUAGGAUUUGAUAACAUACUUACUUUAUUAAUUAAAAGUUUUAUUCUUGCUUAAUUAUUUAUUAUAGGAUUGUAUCAUAUACAUUAAUUUAUAUUAAUUAACUUAUUGUAGUGGUAAUUAUUAUUAUUUAAUGCAAGUUAGAUAUAGCAAUUUCUUUAUUUCCGGUUAAAAUUGUGCCAGCCACCGCGGUUAUACGUGAGGAGUAUAUAAAUAUUAUUGGUUUAGUAGUUAAAUUUUAGUUUCUUUAAUUUUAAAAUUUUUAGGUGAAAUUUUAAUUUUAUUAUAAAAGACAUUUUUGAAGCUAUGAAAUUUAUUUUAUAAACAAGGAUUAGAUACCCUUUUAUUUUAAAUGUAAAUAUAAGCCUGGGUAGUAAUAGUUAUGUUCUUGAAACCCAAAGAAUUUGGCGGUAUUUUAUUCUUUUUAGAGGAAUCUGUCCUAUAAUUGAUAUUCCACGAAGGUUAAUUACUUAUUUUAGUAUUCAAUUUGUAUACCUCCGUCAUAAGAUUAUCUUUUUAGAGUAAAUAUUCUUAGUAUAAGAAAUAUAAGAUGUCAGGUCAAGGUGCAGUUUAUAAAUAAGUAGAGAUGGAUUACAAUAAAUUUAUUUAAACGGAUUAUUAAUAUUAUCAUUAUUAUGAAGGUGGAUUUAAAAGUAAAAUUAUUUCCUUAUUAAUUUGAUUUUGGCUCUGAAAUAUGUACACAUCGCCCGUCACUCUUAUUAUAAAAUAAGAUAAGUCGUAACAUAGUAGAGGUACCGGAAGGUGUUUCUAGAAAGUAU